This 253-nucleotide ribosomal RNA is filed under the name uncultured bacterium. RNAcentral describes it as "partial 16S ribosomal RNA". It matches the Rfam family "Bacterial small subunit ribosomal RNA", at positions 524 to 776 of the family's 1533-position model. The record is from RNAcentral. RNAcentral also lists the same sequence under 1 other name.
UACAGAGGUCCCAAGCGUUGUUCGGAUUCAUUGGGCGUAAAGGGUGUGUAGGUGGCGCCGUAAGUCGGGUGUGAAAUCUCGGGGCUUAACUCCGAAACUGCAUUCGAUACUGCGGUGCUCGAGGACUGGAGAGGAGACUGGAAUUCAUGGUGUAGCAGUGAAAUGCGUAGAGAUCAUGAGGAAGACCAGUGGCGAAGGCGGGUCUCUGGACAGUUCCUGACACUGAGACACGAAGGCCAGGGGAGCAAACGGG